UCGAGAAUCUUCGGCAAUGGGCGAAAGCCUGACCGAGCGAUGCCGCGUGCGGGAUGAAGGCCUUCGGGUUGUAAACCGCUGUCAGUUGGGAGGAAGGGUCCGUGAAGAGCGGAUCUUGACCUAUCUUCAGAGGAAGUCCGGGCUAAGUUCGUGCCAGCAGCCGCGGUAACACGAACCGGACGAACGUUAUUCGGAAUUAUUGGGCUUAAAGGGUGCGUAGGCGGUGCGGUAAGUGAGGUGUGAAAUCCCACGGCUCAACCGUGGAACUGCGCUUCAAACUACCGUGCUAGAGGGAGACAGGGGUAAGCGGAACUGAUGGUGGAGCGGUGAAAUGCGUUGAUAUCAUCAGGAACACCAGUGGCGAAAGCGGCUUACUGGGUCUCUUCUGACGCUGAGGCACGAAAGCUAGGGUAGCGAACGGGAUUAGAUACCCCCGUAGUCC
Molecule: ribosomal RNA, 442 nt
Filed under: uncultured prokaryote
Description: bacterial SSU rRNA
Rfam family: Bacterial small subunit ribosomal RNA
Source: RNAcentral